GGACUACACGGGUAUCUAAUCCUGUUUGCUCCCCACGCUUUCGUGCUUCAGUGUCAGUACAUGGCCAGUGAGCCGCCUUCGCCACCGGUGUUCCUCCAGAUAUCUACGUAUUUCACCACUACACCUGGAAUUCCACUCACCUCUCCAGUACUCAAGCCUUGUAGUAUCAGAAGCACUUCCCGGGUUGAGCCCGGGGAUUUCACAACUGACUAUCAAGGCCACCUACGCACCCUUUACGCCCAAUAAUUCCGAACAACGCUAGGAUCCCUCGUAUUACCGCGGCUGCUGGCAC
This 292-nucleotide ribosomal RNA is filed under the name uncultured bacterium. RNAcentral's name for it is "partial 16S ribosomal RNA". The record is from RNAcentral.